Molecule: ribosomal RNA, 253 nt
Filed under: uncultured bacterium
Lineage: Bacteria
Description: partial 16S ribosomal RNA
Rfam family: Bacterial small subunit ribosomal RNA
Source: RNAcentral
GACGAGGGGUCCUAGCGUUGUUCGGAAUCACUGGGCGUAAAGCGUAUGUAGGCGGGCUUUUAAGUCAGGUGUGAAAUCCCAUGGCUCAACCAUGGAAUUGCAUUUGAAACUGGAAGUCUUGAGUGUGGGAGAGAUUGGUAGAAUACCUGGUGUAGUGGUGAAAUACGUAGAUAUCAGGUGGAAUACCGGUGGCGAAGGCGGCCAAUUGGCCCAACACUGACGCUGAGGCACGAAAGCGUGGGGAGCAAACAGG